GUACUUACCUGGCAGGGGAGAUACCAUGAUCACGAAGGUGGUUUUCCGAGGGCGAGGCUUAUCCAUUGCACUCCGGAUAUGCUGACCCCUGCGAUUUCCCCAAAAAAGAAAAGAAAAGAAAAGAAAAGA
Heterocephalus glaber (naked mole-rat) is the source of this 129-nucleotide small nuclear RNA. Its record names the gene U1. It matches the Rfam family "U1 spliceosomal RNA". Rfam says of the family: U1 is a small nuclear RNA (snRNA) component of the spliceosome (involved in pre-mRNA splicing). Its 5' end forms complementary base pairs with the 5' splice junction, thus defining the 5' donor site of an intron. The record is from Ensembl. Lineage: Eukaryota; Metazoa; Chordata; Mammalia; Rodentia; Bathyergidae.